RNAcentral lists this ribosomal RNA (1635 nucleotides) under Lactobacillus sp. N54.MGS-719. RNAcentral describes it as "bacterial LSU rRNA". It matches the Rfam family "Bacterial large subunit ribosomal RNA", at positions 1284 to 2925 of the family's 2925-position model. The record is from RNAcentral. Lineage: Bacteria; Bacillati; Bacillota; Bacilli; Lactobacillales; Lactobacillaceae.
AGAAGUGAGAAUGCCGGUAUGAGUAGCGAAAGACAGGUGAGAAUCCUGUCCACCGAAUGACUAAGGUUUCCUGGGGAAGGCUCGUCCUCCCAGGGUUAGUCGGGACCUAAGUCGAGGCCGAGAGGCGUAGACGAUGGACAACAGGUUGAUAUUCCUGUACCAGUUGAUUGUGCUUGAGUGAUGGAGUGACGCAGAAGGCUAAGCGAUCCGGACGAUUGGAAGUGUCCGGCCAAGCAGCAAGUCAGUUGAUGAGUCAAAUGCUUAUCAGCGGGUUGACAAGCUGUGACGGGGAGCGAAAUUAUAGUAGCGAAGUCGUUGAUGUCACGCUGCCGAGAAAAGCUUCUAGCGAAUAAUCAACUGCCCGUACCGCAAACCGACACAGGUAGUCGAGGAGAGUAUCCUAAGGUGAGCGAGCGAACUCUCGUUAAGGAACUCGGCAAAAUGACCCCGUAACUUCGGGAGAAGGGGUGCUGAUCGCAAGAUCAGCCGCAGUGAAAAGGCCCAGGCGACUGUUUAUCAAAAACACAGGUCUCUGCAAAAUCGUAAGAUGAAGUAUAGGGGCUGACGCCUGCCCGGUGCUGGAAGGUUAAAAGGAAGAGUUAGCUUCGGCGAAGCCCUGAAUUGAAGCCCCAGUAAACGGCGGCCGUAACUAUAACGGUCCUAAGGUAGCGAAAUUCCUUGUCGGGUAAGUUCCGACCCGCACGAAAGGCGUAACGAUCUGGGCACUGUCUCAACGAGAGACUCGGUGAAAUUGAAUUGCCUGUGAAGAUGCAGGCUACCCGCGACAGGACGGAAAGACCCCAUGGAGCUUUACUGUAGCUUGAUAUUGAGUGCUUGUACUGCUUGUACAGGAUAGGUAGGAGCCAUAGAAGCCAGGACGCUAGUUUUGGCAGAGGCGUUGGUGGGAUACUACCCUUGCAUUAUGAUCACUCUAACCCGCACCACUGAUCGUGGUGGGAGACAGUGUCAGGUGGGCAGUUUGACUGGGGCGGUCGCCUCCCAAAAGAUAACGGAGGCGCCCAAAGGUUCGCUCAGAAUGGUUGGAAAUCAUUCGCAGAGUGUAAAGGCACAAGCGAGCUUGACUGCGAGACAGACAGGUCGAGCAGGGACGAAAGUCGGGCUUAGUGAUCCGGUGGUUCCGCAUGGAAGGGCCAUCGCUCAACGGAUAAAAGCUACCCUGGGGAUAACAGGCUUAUCUCCCCCAAGAGUCCACAUCGACGGGGAGGUUUGGCACCUCGAUGUCGGCUCAUCGCAUCCUGGGGCUGUAGUCGGUCCCAAGGGUUGGGCUGUUCGCCCAUUAAAGCGGUACGCGAGCUGGGUUCAGAACGUCGUGAGACAGUUCGGUCCCUAUCCGUCGCGGGCGUAGGAAAUUUGAGAGGACCUGUCCUUAGUACGAGAGGACCGGGAUGGACAUACCGCUGGUGUACCAGUUGUUCCGCCAGGAGCAUCGCUGGGUAGCUAUGUAUGGAUGAGAUAAACGCUGAAAGCAUCUAAGCGUGAAACUCGCCUCAAGAUGAGAUUUCCCAUUCCUUAUGGAAGUAAGACCCCUCAGAGAUGAUGAGGUAGAUAGGAUGGAAGUGGAAGUGCCGCGAGGCAUGGAGCGGACCAUUACUAAUCGGUCGAGGACUUAACCAA